CAGUCGCCGCGGUAAUACGGAGGGGGCUAGCGUUGUUCGGAAUUACUGGGCGUAAAGCGUACGUAGGCGGCUUUGUAAGUUAGAGGUGAAAGCCUGGUGCUCAACACCAGAACUGCCUUUAAGACUGCAUCGCUUGAACGUCGGAGAGGUGAGUGGAAUUCCGAGUGUAGAGGUGAAAUUCGUAGAUAUUCGGAAGAACACCAGUGGCGAAGGCGGCUCACUGGACGACUGUUGACGCUGAGGUACGAAAGCGUGGGGAGCAAACAGGAUUAGAUACCCGAGUAGUCCCUGUCUCUUAUAC
This 301-nucleotide ribosomal RNA is filed under the name uncultured bacterium. RNAcentral describes it as "partial 16S ribosomal RNA". It matches the Rfam family "Bacterial small subunit ribosomal RNA", at positions 509 to 807 of the family's 1533-position model. The record is from RNAcentral.